This 440-nucleotide ribosomal RNA is filed under the name uncultured bacterium. Its description in RNAcentral is "partial 16S ribosomal RNA". It matches the Rfam family "Bacterial small subunit ribosomal RNA", at positions 338 to 795 of the family's 1533-position model. The record is from RNAcentral.
CCUACGGGUGGCAGCAGUGGGGAAUAUUGCACAAUGGGCGAAACCCUGAUGCAGCGACGCCGCGUGAGUGAAGAAGUAUCUCGGUACGGAAAGCUCUAUCUGCAGGGAAGAAAAUGACGGUACCUGACUAAGAAUCCCCGGCUAACUACGUGCCAGCAGCCGUGGUAAUACGUAGGGGGCAGGCGUUAUCCGGAUUUACUGGGCGUUAAGGGAGCGUAGACGGGUGCACAAGUCUGGAGUGAAAGCCCGGGGCUUAACCCCGGAACUGCUUUUGAAACUGGGCGGCUUGAGUGCAGGAGAGGUAAGCGGAAUGCGUGGUGUAGCGGUGAAAUGCGUAGAUAUCACGAAGAACACCGAUGGCGAAGGCAGCUUACUGGACUGUAACUGACGUUGAGGCUCGAAAGCGUGGGUAGCAAACAGGAUUAGAUACCCUGGUAGUC